Molecule: ribosomal RNA, 639 nt
Filed under: Triticum aestivum (bread wheat)
Lineage: Eukaryota; Viridiplantae; Streptophyta; Magnoliopsida; Poales; Poaceae
Description: partial small subunit ribosomal RNA
Source: RNAcentral
AUGUCGUCUUCUUCUUCCUCCAGUGCCUCCCAGGCUGGCCCCAACGGCCAAGUCACGGAGAGGCUCUCCCGCACCAACUACGUCCUCUGGCGCGCGCAGAUCGUGCCGCAGCUGAGGGGCGCGGGUGUCUUCGGCUACGUCGACGACACGACACCGGAGCCGGCCAGGAUCCUCCACACCAAGGACAAAGAUGGGAAGGAAUCAACUGAGCCGAAUCCCCUCCACUUCAUCUGGAUGCGAGAGGACCAGCAGGUGCUCGGGUACCUGCUGAACAACCUCACCAAGGAGGUGCUCGUGCAGGUGACCGCGAUCACCAUGGCGCACGAGCUCUGGACGGCGCUGUCGGGGAUGUUCUCCUCGCAGUCGCUCAGUCGCGUCAACAACAUCAGAACCUCUCUGGUGAACGCCCAGAAGGGCAACAAGACCGUCACCACCUACUUCGCCGAGAUGCGCGGCUUCGCUGAUGAGCUGGCCGCCGCCGGGAAACCUCUCCAGGAUGAUGAGCUCAUCUCCUACAUCCUGCACGGCCUCGACAUGGACUACCAGCCACUUGUCUCCGCCCUCGACGCCCGCAUCACCCCGGUAUCCCUCGAUGAGCUUUUUUCAAUGCUUAGCAACUUUGGUCAGAGGGUGGCGUAG